UUCUUAUUGGAUGAUGACUAUCACGUGUCAUGUUCUGAUUGAAUAUCAACUUCAUGAAAAAUAAAAUGUAUCAUUGUUUUCGUUGACAAAUUAGAACAUGACGCGUGACAAUCAUUGUCC
This is a non-coding RNA of Glycine soja, 120 nucleotides long. Lineage: Eukaryota; Viridiplantae; Streptophyta; Magnoliopsida; Fabales; Fabaceae. The record is from Rfam.